RNAcentral lists this ribosomal RNA (253 nucleotides) under uncultured bacterium. RNAcentral describes it as "partial 16S ribosomal RNA". It matches the Rfam family "Bacterial small subunit ribosomal RNA", at positions 524 to 776 of the family's 1533-position model. The record is from RNAcentral.
UACGUAGGGUGCAAGCGUUGUCCGGAAUUAUUGGGCGUAAAGAGCUCGUAGGCGGUUUGUUGCGUCGGCCGUGAAAACUUGGGGCUUAACCCCGAGCCUGCGGUCGAUACGGGCAGGCUAGAGUUCGGUAGGGGAGACUGGAAUUCCUGGUGUAGCGGUGAAAUGCGCAGAUAUCAGGAGGAACACCGGUGGCGAAGGCGGGUCUCUGGGCCGAUACUGACGCUGAGGAGCGAAAGCGUGGGGAGCGAACAGG